This 929-nucleotide ribosomal RNA is filed under the name uncultured archaeon. RNAcentral's name for it is "bacterial SSU rRNA". It matches the Rfam family "Archaeal small subunit ribosomal RNA", at positions 1 to 918 of the family's 1478-position model. The record is from RNAcentral.
UUCCGGUUGAUCCUGCCGGACCUGACUGCUAUUGGAGUAGGACUAAGUCACGCUAGUCAAAGGUGCGGAAUGGAGCACCUGGCGUACGGCUCAGUAACACGUAGUCAACCUACCCUAAGGACGAGGACAACCACGGGAAACUGUGGCUAAUACUCGAUAAGAAAUUUGGCCUGGAACGGUAUCUUUCACAAAACCGGCUCGCCGUGAGACACGGGCCUUAGGAUGGGGCUGCGGCUGAUUAUGCUAGAUGGCGGUGUAAAGGACCACCAUGGCUACGAUCAGUAUGGGCGAUGGAAGUCGGAGCCCAGAGUCGGCUACUGAGACAAGGAGCCGAGCUUUACGAAGCUUAGCGGUCGCGAAAACUCGCCAAUACACGAAAGUGUGAGUGGGCUACUCCAAGUGUCAUUCUUACGGAUGACUGUCGCUCGGUCUUACCAGCUGAGAAAGGAAGGAGAGGGCAAGGCUGGUGCCAGCCGCCGCGGUAAAACCAGCUCUUCGAGUGGUCAGGACGAAUAUUGGGUCUAAAGCGCUCGUAGCCGGACAAGUAGGUUCUUGGUUAAAUCCGACAGCAUAACUGUUGGUCUGCUGGGAAUACCGCUAGUCUUGGAAGCGGGAGAGGACAGAGGUAGUCAUAGGGCAGGGGUGAAAUCCAGUGAUCCUAUGGCGACCACCGAUGGCGAAGGCAUCUGUCUGGAACGUAUUCGACGGUGAGGGGCGAAAGCUAGGGGAGCGACCCGGAUUAGAUACCCGGUUAGUCCUAGCCGUAAACGAUGCGGACUAGGUGUUACAGCGGCCAAGAGCCACUGUAGUGCCACAGCGAAGGCGUUAAGUCCGCCACCUGGGGAGUACGGAUGCAAGUCUGAAACUUAAAGGAAUUGACGGGGGCGCACCACCAGGAGUGAAGCCUGCGGUUUAAUUGGACUCAACGC